ACUCCUACGGGAGGCAGCAGUGGGGAAUAUUGCACAAUGGAGGAAACUCUGAUGCAGCAACGCCGCGUGGGGGAUGACGCAUUUCGGUGUGUAAACUCCUUUUAUAUGGGAAGAUAAUGACGGUACCAUAUGAAUAAGCACCGGCUAACUCCGUGCCAGCAGCCGCGGUAAUACGGAGGGUGCAAGCGUUACUCGGAAUCACUGGGCGUAAAGCGCAUGCAGGCGGUCUAAUAAGUUGGAAGUGAAAGCCUAUGGCUCAACCAUAGAACUGCUUCCAAAACUGUUAGACUAGAGUCUGGGAGGGGAAGAUGGAAUUAGUAGUGUAGGGGUAAAAUCCGUAGAGAUUACUAGGAAUACCAAAAGCGAAGGCGAUCUUCUGGAACAGUACUGACGCUGAGAUGCGAAAGCGUGGGGAGCAAACAGGAUUAGAUACCCUGGUAGUCCACGCAGUGGACGAUGAAUGUUAGUCGUUGGUAUCCUAGAGAUAUCAGUGAUGCAGUUAACACAUUAAACAUUCCGCCUGGGGAGUACGGUCGCAAGAUUAAAACUCAAAGGAAUAGACGGGGACCCGCACAAGUGGUGGAGCAUGUGGUUUAAUUCGAAUAUACGCGAAGAACCUUACCUAGCCUUGACAUAUUUUAGAAUUCACCAGAGAUGGAGGAGUGCCUUCGGGAGCUAAUAUACAGGUGCUGCACGGCUGUCGUCAGCUCGUGUCGUGAGAUGUUGGGUUAAGUCCCGCAACGAGCGCAACCCUCGUCACUAGUUACUAACGAUUCGGUCGAGGACUCUAGUGAGACUGCCUUCGUAAGGAGGAGGAAGGUGAGGACGACGUCAAGUCAUCAUGGCCCUUACGGCUAGGGCAACACACGUGCUACAAUGGUUAGGACAAUGAGAAGCAAUAUCGCGAGGUGGAGCAAAUCUAUAAACCUAAUCUCAGUUCGGAUUGUAGUCUGCAACUCGACUACAUGAAGCUGGAAUCACUAGUAAUCGUAGAUCAGCUAUGCUACGGUGAAUACGUUCCCGGGUCUUGCACUCACCGCCCGUCA
Molecule: ribosomal RNA, 1046 nt
Filed under: uncultured Campylobacterota bacterium
Lineage: Bacteria; Pseudomonadati; Campylobacterota
Description: bacterial SSU rRNA
Rfam family: Bacterial small subunit ribosomal RNA
Source: RNAcentral